UACGGAGGGUGCAAACGUUGCUCGGAAUCAUUGGGCGUAAAGCGCGCGUAGGCGGCGAGGCAAGUUGGAUGUGAAAGCCCUGGGCUCAACCUAGGAUGUGCAUACAAAACUGCCUCGCUUGAAUCUCGGAGGGGGUCAGGGAAUUCCCGGUGUAGAGGUGAAAUUCGUAGAUAUCGGGAGGAACACCAGUGGCGAAGGCGCUGACCUGGACGAUGAUUGACGCUGAGGCGCGAAAGCCAGGGGAGCGAACGGG
This 253-nucleotide ribosomal RNA is filed under the name uncultured bacterium. RNAcentral describes it as "partial 16S ribosomal RNA". It matches the Rfam family "Bacterial small subunit ribosomal RNA", at positions 524 to 776 of the family's 1533-position model. The record is from RNAcentral.